RNAcentral lists this ribosomal RNA (253 nucleotides) under uncultured bacterium. Its description in RNAcentral is "partial 16S ribosomal RNA". It matches the Rfam family "Bacterial small subunit ribosomal RNA", at positions 524 to 776 of the family's 1533-position model. The record is from RNAcentral.
UACGUAGGGGGCUAGCGUUGUCCGGAUUUAUUGGGCGUAAAGAGCGUGUAGGCGGCCAGAAAAGUCCGCUGUGAAAACUCGAGGCUCAACUUCGAGCUGUCGGUGGAAACUUUCUGGCUAGAGUCCGGAAGAGGAGAAUGGAAUUCCUGGUGUAGCGGUGAAAUGCGUAGAUAUCUGGAGGAACACCGAUGGCGAAGGCAGCCCCCUGGGAUAACACUGACGCUCAUGCACGAAAGCGUGGGGAGCAAACAGG